GAUGAACGCUGGCGGCGUGCCUAAUACAUGCAAGUCGAGCGAACAGAUGAGGAGCUUGCUCCUCUGACGUUAGCGGCGGACGGGAGAGUAACACGUGGAUAACCUACCUAUAAGACUGGGAUAACAUUGGGAAACCGGAGCUAAUAACGGAUAAUAUAUUGAACCGCAUGGUUCAAUAGUGAAAGACGGUUUUGCUGUGACUAAUAGAUGGAUACGCGCCGCAUGAGCUAGUGGGUAAGGUAACGGGUUACCAAGGCAACGAUGCGUAGCCGACCUCAGAGGGUGGUUCGCUAGCCGGUCAGUGAGACUCGUCCGCGACUCUUACGGUGGGACGCAGCAGAGAAUCCUACGCAAGGCAGCAGUGCCUGACGUAGCACCGCCGCGGGAGUGCUGAAGGUCUUCGGAUCGGAAAACGCUGUUAGUAGUAAAGAACUAAUGUGUUAUUAACUAGGCUCGUCUUGACGGUACCUGAUCAGAAAGCCACGGCUAACUACGUG
RNAcentral lists this ribosomal RNA (497 nucleotides) under uncultured bacterium. RNAcentral's name for it is "partial 16S ribosomal RNA". It matches the Rfam family "Bacterial small subunit ribosomal RNA", at positions 28 to 507 of the family's 1533-position model. The record is from RNAcentral.